GACGAACGCUGGCGGCGCGCCUAACACAUGCAAGUCGAACGGAGUUUCCCCUUCGGGGGGAGCUUAGUGGCGGACGGGUGAGUAACACGUGAGGAACCUGCCUUUGAGAGCGGGAUACCGUCUGGAAACGGACGUUAAUACCGCAUAAUGCAGCGAGGCCACAUGGCCAUGCUGCCAAAGAUUUAUCGCUCAAAGAUGGCCUCGCGCCUGAUUAGAUAGUUGGCGGGGUAACGGCCCACCAAGUCUGCGAUCAGUAGCCGGACUGAGAGGUCGAACGGCCACAUUGGGACUGAGAUACGGCCCAGACUCCUACGGGAGGCAGCAGUGGGGGAUAUGCACAAUGGGCGAAAGCCUGAUGCAGCGACGCCGCGUGAGGGAAGACGG
This 384-nucleotide ribosomal RNA is filed under the name uncultured bacterium. Its description in RNAcentral is "bacterial SSU rRNA". It matches the Rfam family "Bacterial small subunit ribosomal RNA", at positions 28 to 414 of the family's 1533-position model. The record is from RNAcentral.